CAAAACUAAACCUAUUGUAUUACUGAAUUUUAUAUUUGGUUGGGCAGAUGAUAUUCCAUUUGUAGUCAUUAACUUCUAUGAAAAUAAAAAUAUCUGCUGAAAGACUUAAAAUGUAAAUGUGUAAAGUUGUUAUAACUAAGGGUUUUGAAGGUUUUCACUGAGUAAAUUGCUGCUGUUAUUUUCACAAGUUGCACAAGCAAGUAGUGAACAGUCAGGUUGGAAAUAGCCAUUACGAAUACUGAAAUCUGAUUAUAGAAUGGGAAAAAUUGCUAAUUUCCAUUUUUUAUUCUGUUUCAUAUCUCUGUGAGUAUCCUGAUAUUUCUCUUUUCAAGUCAAUUCUUUUUAGAACUUUUUCUCAGAAUCAGUUUUUAGUUCCUCAUUUUAAACCAAAGAUACUGUUUUGUAUCAAAUGCAAUUCAGAGGAUAUUAAGCUCAAAACUUGGCAAUGUAGGCAGAUAUGAAUGAAUUUACAAAUGAACAAGGCAAACUAUUCAUAGACAAAUGGGCAUACAGAUUUCAAAAUCAGAAAAAAAAGUUUCUGAAUGGGGAAAAAAAUCGCAAUAAUAAACUACAUUUCUCUAAUUUCCUGGGGUUUGUCCUGCAAGGGCAAAGUUAAGUUUUAUUUGUAGCUAUUACUGAAAUGUUACUAGUGUUUUUAACUAAACUGGUAUACUAAUGCUAAAAAACAAAUAAAAGCACCUAAUGAAGGAAGCUAGGUCAGUCCUGGUUUUCUUAUUGUAAUUAUUUUUUAUAUUUUGCUUCACAUGUUCUUCCACAUUUAUUUCCUGUGGAUACUGUGUGUGUUCCUAGCUCUGUAAUAUGAAACACCUGUACUUCAAAUUCUUAAAGCGGAGAAAUAUUCUGUAUGAAUUAGGGAGAAAUUCAUGUUAAGUCUGUUCCAGUGAAUUUUAUGUGUCAUUUCUGUCAUACCUUGUUGCAAUUAUUAAUGAAGUCAAAUGCUUUUCAGAUGACAGCAUGUGGAACCAGGGAAAAUUGGAUAUCUGGUAGACAUUCUACUCAAUUAAAGGCUGAUGAUACAAUGGGACUAAGAGGAAUACUUCAGCCUCUUAACAGGUAA
RNAcentral lists this long non-coding RNA (1078 nucleotides) under Cyanistes caeruleus (blue tit). Its description in RNAcentral is "lncRNA (ENSCCEG00000004980.1)". Lineage: Eukaryota; Metazoa; Chordata; Aves; Passeriformes; Paridae. The record is from RNAcentral.